CAUAAUUUUACUCCAGCAACAGAAACACAAAAACUUCUCAGUGUGGUGCGCACCUCAAUUUUUGAAAUUAUAUUUUCCUCUUGUAGAGCAGUUCAGCUCUGCUGCUCAGCUGCACUGUAGAAAGCUGGUGCUUCUGCAAAGUGUAACAAUGGCAACAAAAAGCAGAGUGGAGCAGGACUUAAACUCUUCUGACAUCAUGGCUGGAUCUGUGAGAAUUCUCACCACCAGGACAGUCACUGUCAAAACAGUAGAGGACUGAGACAGCAGCGACAUCAGCAGCCUGACCUGUUGGCCAACACUGAUCUGUGUUUAUAAUCAGUCAAGAAACCUCUGGAUGUCCUUCCUG
Molecule: long non-coding RNA, 346 nt
Filed under: Sparus aurata (gilthead seabream)
Lineage: Eukaryota; Metazoa; Chordata; Actinopteri; Spariformes; Sparidae
Description: lncRNA (ENSSAUG00010005180.1)
Source: RNAcentral